This 282-nucleotide unclassified non-coding RNA is filed under the name uncultured Ascomycota. RNAcentral describes it as "sequence contains ITS2". The record is from RNAcentral. Lineage: Eukaryota; Fungi; Ascomycota.
AACGCACAUUGCACCCGGUGGUAUUCUGCCGGGUAUGCCUGUUCGAGCGUCAUUUCUACCCUCAGGCCUUGCUGUUCAGGCGGCGAAGGCACUGGUGUUGGGAGUUUUACAGCGCCGGAUAUCUUCUAGCUGCUGUAGUCCCUAAUUUCAUCGGCGUAGACGUGUACGUUGCCCCCUGCGUAGUGGUUUUUCUUUCUCGCAUCGGGUCGUGCCGCCGUACUGCCGCAAAACACUUUCAAUGAGUUUGACCUCGAAUCAGGUAGGGUUACCCGCUGAACUUAA